Long non-coding RNA from Triticum dicoccoides, 508 nucleotides. RefSeq lists it as uncharacterized. The record is from RefSeq and is a predicted model, not a curated record. Lineage: Eukaryota; Viridiplantae; Streptophyta; Magnoliopsida; Poales; Poaceae. The transcript has 3 exons.
AAUUUACAAAGCUCCAGUUGGUCAAUACAGCCUUGAUUCCAUGUUUUCUACCACUGCUUAACUUUAUUUGAGAAACUGUUGUUGUUAUGUAUGCAGGAUAGAGUAUAGAGUUGUAUGCAGGAUAUAGUACUAGCGUUGGAAUUUCAGGGCAUCCAAAAAGAACUUAGGACUAAAUUACUAGCUUAAUGCAUGGAACUUAUUGAGCUGCAGUCAUGGCAUGUGCUUACAUAGAGACCUUCGUUCUGUGGAUAUACCUCUUCUUAUAGGACAGCAUGUGCGUGAUGCAUUGCUCCCCUUAGUUUUCGGAGGAACAUGGUGCUAUUCCUGGUGCUUUUGGUUAUGAAAAAACUGACAUUAGUCAGGAACUUUCUAAGGUGAUCACUUUACUGCUCUGUUCUCAUCGUACCAUUUCUACACAGUUUACUGAGUUUAAAAAUCCAUGCAAUACUCUAAUUCUGAAGCUUUGGUUUAUGUGAGAUGUGGCUGAAAGAAGAAAUGAGAUAGCCGA